UACGAAGGGGGCUAGCGUUGCUCGGAAUCACUGGGCGUAAAGGGCGCGUAGGCGGCCGAUCAAGUCGGGGGUGAAAGCCUGUGGCUCAACCACAGAAUUGCCUUCGAUACUGUUUGGCUUGAGACCGGAAGAGGUUAGUGGAACUGCGAGUGUAGAGGUGAAAUUCGUAGAUGUUCGCAAGAACACCAGUGGCGAAGGCGGCUGACUGGUCCGGUUCUGACGCUGAGGCGCGAAAGCGUGGGGAGCAAACAGG
This 253-nucleotide ribosomal RNA is filed under the name uncultured bacterium. Its description in RNAcentral is "partial 16S ribosomal RNA". It matches the Rfam family "Bacterial small subunit ribosomal RNA", at positions 524 to 776 of the family's 1533-position model. The record is from RNAcentral.